This 433-nucleotide ribosomal RNA is filed under the name uncultured bacterium. RNAcentral describes it as "partial 16S ribosomal RNA". It matches the Rfam family "Bacterial small subunit ribosomal RNA", at positions 29 to 507 of the family's 1533-position model. The record is from RNAcentral.
AACGGACGCUGGCGGCAUGCCUAACACAUGCAAGUCGAACGAGACCUUCGGGUCUAGUGGCGCACGGGUGCGUAACGCGUGGGAACCUUCCCUUAGGUUCGGAAUAACUCCCCGAAAGGGGUGCUAAUACCGGAUAAUGUCUUCGGACCAAAGAUUUAUCGCCUUUGGAUGGGCCCGCGUUGGAUUAGCUAGUUGGUAGGGUAAAAGCCUACCAAGGCGACGAUCCAUAGCUGGUCUGAGAGGAUGAUCAGCCACACUGGGACUGAGACACGGCCCAGACUCCUACGGGAGGCAGCAGUGGGGAAUAUUGGACAAUGGGCGAAAGCCUGAUCCAGCAAUGCCGCGUGAGUGAUGAAGGCCUUAGGGUUGUAAAGCUCUUUUACCCGGGAUGAUAAUGACAGUACCGGGAGAAUAAGCUCCGGCUAACUCCGUG